GUCAGGUUCCUCAGCUGUUCGGAUUCCUUUUUUCUAAUACUUACCCUCGAGGCAAGGGUGCCUGCUUUAUUUUCAUAUCCAAAGAAUUAAUUCACAGGUUUUUCUCCUCGAGGGAACUAGCACAGGAAGGGGAGAAAUCGUUAGGAAACGACCUGAUUUAAAAGCACUUCCAGUCCAGUCUCCUCUACGCAUACACACGCACACCCUUUUUCCUUAUUUGACGGAGAAAAUUUGCUCCCCAGAGUGGGGAGCGACUUGCUGAAGGUGCUAGAUCCCGGAGUAGGGCCUUGAACAGCGGCUUGUUCACUUAAGAAUGGCAAACCCUUCUUUAAAAAGAGACUUGGUGCAGUCCCUCCAGCCACUGUCCAGGGUCUAUUUUCCUCCACUUAACAGUGGAAAAGACCCCAUAAAGCCGUCUGUUGUGAAAGUAAAUUUUUACCUUGUUUGGUGGAUUGCUGCGGGCCCAUCUGACCACUUGCAGGUUUUCCGUUCCUCAGAGUUUUUGAAAGAAUAGCAAGUUUUUUAAAGCGCAAAAGUGAUGCCUACCGAUUAUUUAUAAAAACGUCUUUCUCAAAUACUGAUACCGAUUCCCUUUUCUUGCCCUUCUUUUGAGGCGGAGUAGGGAUCCCGAGUCGUUUGUAAUAACGAGAACUCUAUCAGGAAUAACUCGGAAAGCCGGUUAUUCAGUCUCCGUGGGUGGUGGAAACCUACUCAGAUCCAAGUGUAAUGAGGGAGAUAUUUCAGAUAAAAACCUGAUGCUGAUAGUUUUGUCUACCUGGCAAAAACUUCAUCAGUCCUGCUUUACCAGCCUAAACGGAAUAAUAAAGGGCAAAGUGAAUGUUUUAUUUGACUUUUCUAUCUCACGUUGUGCGUGAAGCUGGAACUUGUCUUCGUUACCAUUUAGUUGAGGCCCAGACCCUCCCUUUCGCCGAUGAUCUGAAUGCUCCCCAGCUCUCUCAACUCCCCGCCCCGGCAAGGAAGAUAGGGACCCACAUUUGAAAGCCUGCCAAGUUUAAGAAAACCAUUACACAAUGACUAUCAUUUCCUUCCUUUCAGACUUAAAAUUUUUUUUCUUAAACCUCAGAGUCAGCUGCUUGCUAACCACUAAUUUUUUAUACUCCACCAUUAAGACAGCCUUUCCUCUGGACUCAGAUCAGUUCCCUUGAAGUCUCUUUUUUCAUGCCUUCCUUGAAAGAAUAUCCUCUCUGAGCUCCUUUUCUGUCUCCUUUCGUCUCCUGCCAUCAAUCUUUCUCCAGUGUUCUAUUUCUUUUCCCUCCAUGCUCUCUUCCUUGACAGUUCUGCCUAUUGCCAGGCUUAAAUGUCUAUGUGUGGGACUCAUACCUAUUUUUCCAUCCACCUCCCGUCUCUGAAGCUCAGAGAUGGAAUUUCAAGCUGCAUGAAUAAUGCUAUUCAGGCAACAAAUGUUUGCUGAGGGCCUGCUGUGUGGCAGAUAUGGUGCUAGGUGCUGAGGGUAGGAAAAUGACACAGACACACUACCUAUCCUAGCGGAGCUCACAGUUCAGUGAGAAAUAAAGUUCCAAUAAUUAUAAGAGACAGAGAGAGAGAGAUGAGUGCAAUGACUGAUACUUCUUUGUGCCAGGCAGUUUUCUAAGGGCUUUAUAAAAAUGAACUCGUUUAAGCCUCACAACAAUAGUAGGAGGCAGAUACUAUUAUAGUCCCCGUUUAACACCUGAUAUGGUGAAAUUGAGGCACAAUAAUUUGCCGAAGGUCACUCAGCUAGUAAGGGCAGGAUUCAAACCCAGCCAGUUUGGCCCCAUUUCCCGUGUUCUUAAGUAUGGCGCUGUUCUGCUUCUGUUAAGAGUGCUGUUUCUGACCAACCUGAAUUCAGAUCUUGAUCUGCCAUUUAAUAUCUGCAACCUUAGGACUCUGUAAGCCCCAGUUUCCUCCUCUGUAAAAUGGAGUUAAUAAUAGUACUUAUUUCAUAUGGUUAUAGUGAGGAAUAAAAG
Molecule: long non-coding RNA, 1967 nt
Organism: Equus caballus (horse)
Lineage: Eukaryota; Metazoa; Chordata; Mammalia; Perissodactyla; Equidae
Source: Ensembl